Carya illinoinensis is the source of this 711-nucleotide long non-coding RNA. RefSeq lists it as uncharacterized. The transcript is spliced from 3 exons. Lineage: Eukaryota; Viridiplantae; Streptophyta; Magnoliopsida; Fagales; Juglandaceae. The record is from RefSeq and is a predicted model, not a curated record.
UUGAGCAGUAUAACGGAUUUCGUGUGGCUAGUGGGAGGAGUUCUAAUGUGGCUCAAGGAAGGCCAAGCAGCACUAAUAUAAAUAUUGGUAAUGAGCCAGCACCUACUAAAUUUAAGAUCAUGUUUACCAACUUUCUUAAGGAACGGUGUGUUACGGAGUUUAGAUCGGAGCUAGAUAGAUAUUUUUCUGAGACGUGUAUAGACGACUCGCUCGGUUUUGAUAUCUUAGAUUGGUGGAGAAUUAAUGCCGUUAACUAUCCUGUCCUUGCUGAGGUAGCACGUGAUGUGUUAGCCACCCCCAUUUCCACUGUUGCCUCGGAGUCCGCAUUUAGUACUGGAGGACGCAUAUUGGAUCCUUUUAGGAGUUCCUUGUCUCCAGAAACUGUUGAAGCUCUCAUUUGCACCCAAAAUUGGUUAAGGACCAAACCAAUUAACAUUCGGGAUUUGGAAGAAUAUAUACAGUCGAUGGACCUUGAAGACGAUCAUCUAGCUUCAUCUUCAACCGAGGCUGAUGUGAGUCUCCAUUCCCAUUCAUGCUGAAAAGUUUAUCCUUGGUUAAUCUUCAAUGGAGGUUUUUUGCUUUUGCAAAUGCUGUUGCAUGUGCCUUCUCUGUGCUGUCCUUGCUGUACUUGCAUCUACUACUUGUUCUUACAUGAUUUGGUAUGGUUGUCUACGGAUCAAGAUCUGGAAGUGGGGUUUGCAUUGCUGGAAG